Danio rerio (zebrafish) is the source of this 1996-nucleotide non-coding RNA. The record is from RefSeq and is a predicted model, not a curated record. NCBI's taxonomy places the organism in Eukaryota, Metazoa, Chordata, Actinopteri, Cypriniformes, Danionidae.
AGAACUGGCUUGUCGCGAAGAGGGCAAAACUCUUAGUGAAUUGAUUGAAAUCACAAUCCAACUGGAUAAUCUCAUCAGAGCACGCUGUGUACCAAAGCUGCGACGCCUCCCUGAUCUCGAACCGACGCAGAAUGAACCCAUGCAACUCAGUUACACUCAGUUAACUCCGGAGGAGUGCGAACGCAGAUUGCAGAACCAUCUCUGUCUAUAUUGCGGAGAAUCUGGGCAUCGACGCAUUAAUUGCACGGUCCGUCCAGCUCGAUUGUGGAAGCGCUAGACGGACGUCCUAUUGGAAAUGGAAGGAUCCAGCAUGUCACGACAUCCCUUAAUUUACAAAUCGGGGCGCUACAUAAGGAAAGGAUCAAUUUCUAUAUAAUUCAACCAUCUAGACAUCCUGUAAUUCUCGGCUUACCCUGGCUGCGCCAGCACGACCCUCACAUUUCCUGUUAGAAGGGGCAAAUACUCCAGUGGGGCUCGACUUGUUUACAUCAAUGACUUGAUGAGAUCACUAAGCUUCCUGUCCAGACAAUAAGUAUACAGUCCCUUCAAGAUCAAGAGUUUACCACAUUACCAACAGUAUAUUCUAAUUUGACCGAGAUGUUCAGCCAGCAAAGCGCUACUCACUACCACCUCAUCGCCCCUAUGACUGUGCAAUUGAGCUGCUGCCAGGUAUGAUACCCCCCAAGGGAAGAAUAUUUCCACUGUCUCAGCCCGAGUCAGAAGCCAUGAACUCCUACAUCCAGGAAGAACUAAAAAAAGGAUUCAUUCGCCUAUCUACUUCACCGGCGGCGGCCGGUUUCUUUUUCGUUUAGAAAAAAGAUGGUAAUCUGCGUCCAUGCAUUGAUUAUCGUGGUCUCAAUGAGAUCACAGUCAAAUAUAAAUAUCCCCUUCCUCUGGUACCAGCAGCCCUAGAACAACUACGUCAGGCUAAAAUCUAUACCAAACUCGACUUGCGGAGUGCCUAUAAUCUAAUACGGAUAAAGCAGGGAGACGAGUGGAAGACCGGGUUUUCCACCACCAGGGGGCACUAUGAAUACACCGUGAUGCCCUUCGAGCUGGCCAACAGUCCAUCCGUCUUUCAGGCAUUUAUGAAUGAUGUCUUCCGUGACAUGCUGGAUCGGUGGGUAAUCAUCUAUAUAGACGACAUUCUGAUCUACUCUAAUACUAUGGAGGAACACAUCCAACAUGUAAGAGCAGUGUUACAGAGGCUUAUUCACCAUGACCUUUAUGCAAAAUUUGAAAAAUGUGAGUUCCAUCUGACAAGUGUCUUUCCUGGGCUACAUUAUCAGCACGGAAGGAGUUACCAUGGAUGAGAGAAAGGUAACUGCCGUACAGGAGUGGCCACUCCCCCAGACUUUAAAGCAGCUACAACGCUUCCUGGGCUUCGCAAACUUCUAUAGAGGAUUUAUUAGAAACUUCAGUAUCCUAGCGGCUCCCCUCACCUCAAUGACUAAACGCAGUCACGCUAAGUUAAUCUGACAACCCGAAGCUAUACAGGCCUUCUCAGUGCUAAAGGAGAAAUUCACCUCCGCGCCAGUGUUACAUCAUCCUAAUCCCGAACUACCUUUUGUGGUGGAAGUAGAUGCCUCCAACACAGGAGUAGGGGCGGUACUCUCUCAGCACCAGGACAUCCCCGAGAAGAUGUAUCCAUGCGCCUUCUUCUCAAUCAAGUUGAACGUAACUAUGACGUCGGUAACAGGGAACUCCUAGCUAUCAAGCUUGCACUGGAGGAAUGGCUACAUUGGUCAGAGGCUACAUUGGUUACCGUUUCUGAAGCUAUCUGCCUGCCCUGACCACUGCGUAGUUAUAUUGAUUCCAUCUGCCAGCCGCCUGCCCCGAAUCUCUGCCUGUCUCUCGUUAAAGAUUACUCUCUCCUAACCUCGACCCACGCAUGCUCUUCGACUAUUCUACUGGAAAGUUCCCAUUUAAUCUUAUGUUUUUGAGUUUCCACCUGUUAUAUCUUACUGUUAUUAAAGUGUGCAAAUGGAUCCAGAAA